Transfer RNA from Trachipleistophora hominis, 71 nucleotides. It matches the Rfam family "tRNA". From Rfam's summary of the family: Transfer RNA (tRNA) molecules are approximately 80 nucleotides in length. Their secondary structure includes four short double-helical elements and three loops (D, anti-codon, and T loops). Lineage: Eukaryota; Fungi; Microsporidia; Pleistophoridae. The record is from Rfam.
GCAUCACUGGUCUAAUGGUAGAAUUGCUGCUUGCCAUGCAGUAGGUCCGAGUUCGAUUCUCGGGUGAUGCA